Molecule: ribosomal RNA, 429 nt
Filed under: Bacteroidota bacterium
Lineage: Bacteria; Pseudomonadati; Bacteroidota
Description: Bacteroidetes bacterium partial 16S ribosomal RNA
Rfam family: Bacterial small subunit ribosomal RNA
Source: RNAcentral
UAGGGAAUCUUCCGCAAUGGGCGAAAGCCUGACGGAGCAACGCCGCGUGAGUGAUGAAGGUCUUCGGAUCGUAAAACUCUGUUAUUAGGGAAGAACAAAUGUGUAAGUAACUAUGCACAUCUUGACGGUACCUAAUCAGAAAGCCACGGCUAACUACGUGCCAGCAGCCGCGGUAAUACGUAGGUGGCAAGCGUUAUCCGGAAUUAUUGGGCGUAAAGCGCGCGUAGGCGGUUUUUUAAGUCUGAUGUGAAAGCCCCCGGCUCAACCGGGGAGGGUCAUUGGAAACUGGUUGACUUGAGUGCAGAAGAGGAGAGUGGAAUUCCAUGUGUAGCGGUGAAAUGCGUAGAUAUAUGGAGGAACACCAGUGGCGAAGGCGGCUCUCUGGUCUGUAACUGACGCUGAGGCUCGAAAGCGUGGGGAGCGAACAGG